This 550-nucleotide ribosomal RNA is filed under the name uncultured bacterium. RNAcentral's name for it is "partial 16S ribosomal RNA". It matches the Rfam family "Bacterial small subunit ribosomal RNA", at positions 355 to 912 of the family's 1533-position model. The record is from RNAcentral.
UGGGGAAUAUUGCACAAUGGGCGCAAGCCUGAUGCAGCAACGCCGCGUGAGGGAUGACGGCCUUCGGGUUGUAAACCUCUUUUAGCAGGGAAGAAGCGAAAGUGACGGUACCUGCAGAAAAAGCACCGGCUAACUACGUGCCAGCAGCCGCGGUAAUACGUAGGGUGCAAGCGUUGUCCGGAAUUAUUGGGCGUAAAGAGCUCGUAGGCGGUCUGUCGCGUCUGCUGUGAAAUCCCGAGGCUCAACCUCGGGCCUGCAGUGGGUACGGGCAGACUAGAGUGCGGUAGGGGAGAAUGGAACUCCUGGUGUAGCGGUGUAAUGCGCAGAUAUCAGGAAGAACACCGAUGGCGAAGGCAGUUCUCUGGGCCCGUAACUGACGCUGAGGAGCGAAAAGCGUGGGGAGCGAACAGGAUUAGAUACCCUGGUAGUCCACGCCGUAAACGUUGGGCGCUAGAUGUGGGGACCAUUCCACGGUUUCCGUGUCGCAGCUAACGCAUUAAGCGCCCCGCCUGGGGAGUACGGCCGCAAGGCUAAAACUUGAAAUGAAUUG